This is an RNA transcript of Myiozetetes cayanensis, 4509 nucleotides long. It is a transcript of the gene named chemerin-like receptor 1, with no coding region annotated. NCBI's taxonomy places the organism in Eukaryota, Metazoa, Chordata, Aves, Passeriformes, Tyrannidae. The record is from RefSeq and is a predicted model, not a curated record. The transcript is spliced from 4 exons.
UGGCAGCCACAGCACGCUUGACCCUGCUGAGAUUGUCCCACGUGUGGCCAAGGACAGAAGCCAGGAUGGUGGGAUCCCACCCUGGAACAGCUUGGCUGCCAGCACAUGGACAUCACUUCCUUCCCAGGCCUGGGAGGGUGGGUGGUCCCUCCCCCUCACUGUGAGGGUUUGGGUUGGUGGGACUCAGCCCAGCCCCCUACCUCUGUCCCGGGUAACCCUCGGAGUAUUUGUUGUUCAUGCAGGAUCCCAGCGCCUCCAGCACCGCUCGGCUCGCAAAGUUCUCCGACGCAAUCAGCUCCAGCCCCAGCCUCUGCCGCUGCUUCUCCUUCUUGAUGAUGCUGUGCACCUUUGGGAGAGGGCAGAAACAGCUUCACCAUGCCAGCUCUGCAGGGAGACAUGGGAGCUCCACCACAGGGUCUGCACCCUUGGAGGGACAGGUCUUGGCUUGGAGCGAUGGACAGCGUCUCCUCUUCCCCGUCCCCCUUCCCUGACAGCUGCCCCACCGAGCUGCCUGAGAAUGCCACCGACCAGGACUACUACUCCGGGCUCCAGAAGACCAUGCACGUGCUGUCCAUGGUGGUGUACGGCAUCGCCUGCGUGCUGGGGGUGACGGGCAAUGGCCUCGUCAUCUGGAUCGCCGGCUUCAAGAUGAAGAAGACGGUGAACUCCAUCUGGUUCCUCAACCUGGCCGUUGCUGACUUCAUCUUCACCUUUUUCCUGCCCCUCAGCAUCGCCUACACCGCCCUGGGCUUCCACUGGCCCUUUGGGAAGCUGCUGUGCAAGCUGAACAGCACCAUCGCCUUCCUCAACAUGUUUGCCAGCGUCUUCCUCCUGACCGUCAUCAGCGUCGACCGCUGCGUUUCCGUGGCCUUUCCCGUCUGGUCUCACAACCGCCGGAGCCCGGAGCUGGCGGCCAGGAUCGCCCUGGGAACGUGGGUCCUGGCCCUGCUGCUCAGCUCGCCGUACCUGGUCUUUCGGGACACCGUGGUCAGCUCGAGGAACACCACCAGCUGCUACAACAACUUUGCGCUGUCCGACGAUUACUCGUCCGAGGCCACGCGGAGCCUGUGGAGGGUGCGGCACAAAGCCAUGAUCGUAACGCGCUUCCUGUGCGGCUUCCUCGUCCCUUUCCUGGUGAUUCUCGUCUGCUACAGCGUCGUGGCUGUGAAGCUGAGAAGAAGGCAGCUGGCCGGCUCUGCGAAGCCCUACAGGAUCAUCACUGCUGUCACAGCCUCCUUCUUCCUCUGUUAUUUCCCCUAUCACGUCUUCUCCCUGCUGGAAAUAUCCAAAAACUCUUCCAGCCAUGAGAUGAAACUGGCCCUCUACAUUGGCAUCCCCUUGGUUUCCAGCCUUGCUUUCUUCAACAGCUGCAUCAACCCCAUCCUGUACGUCUUCGUGGGGCCGGAUUUCAAGGAGAAGUUUCUCCAGUCCAUCCUGUCCACCUUCGAAGGGGCCUUCAGUGAGGAGUCGGUCCUGGGCGGCCUGAGCAGCCGCAGGAAGUCCAGGUCUGCUUCGGAAGUGGAGGUCCCGAGGGUCUGAGUGUGGAAGGGGCCCUUCCCUCCUCUGCAGUUUCCCUAAUUUCAGAGCUCUAGUGGCAGGACUGGGGGCUGUGAAGGGCUGUGCAGGCUAACAAGGUAUAAUUUGGUGUCUUGGGGGUAUCUCAAGCACACUGUGACACAAUGGAAAGGAAAGAACUCUCUGCAGCUGCAGCAAGGUGGGUUAAAGCAGCAGCAUUUUACUCCUUGGGCCUUUUGUUCAUGCAUCUUUUAAAGAAACAGGGUUAAAUGCAAUGGCUCCGUGUAUUUUUGUAUAGUGACAGCUGGUAAGACACUCCCUAGGAAGGACAAAUCGGUGGCUGUGCUCCUGUUACUCAGGCUGGAUAUACAGCAUAACUAUUUCUGAGCAAUGAUGGUUUGGGUUUGUGUUUGGCAUCUUUCCAGCCCUUAAAUAGUGGGGAUCUGAUAUUUUGUGCUGUUGGUGAAUGAACAUUAAACCCCAAUAAACUUCUCUAAAACAUACCCAGCCUGUUGUGUUGCCUGUGGCAUAAAAUGUGUGUUGAUCCAAGCUGACAGAGCAGGUUCAUCUUUGGUAACAGAAGAACUACAUAAAAAGAGUAAAUACCCAGAAUUUGGAACCAAACCACUGGCAUUAACAGCAGCUCUCUUGAGUGAAGCAGACAGGACACAACCUGGGUGUGAGGACUUGCCUGGGGCACUUGGACCACGUGGAUCUGAUUGCCAGGCCCUGCUUAUGGCUUAUUGCUGGUUUUCAGACCUUUGGGUACAUUUGGAAAACAGUGACUUGGAGGAGAAAGAAGAGCAAGUAGCAGAGCUGAGUCUGGUCAAAUUUCACAUUUGCAAACUUCCCUGGAAGAAGAUGGUGGAGGUUUUCUUCCCAGGCUUCAUCAGCUUCUGAAACUCUGAAAUUUUUAUCCCACGUAAUUCCCUGUGACAAGAGACUUCACAAGUGCCGGACCAGGACCUCAGACUCCUGUCAUGCCUCUCUCCUCAUCCUGGCAGCCUUGAGAGUCAGGUUUUGAAGUGUUGACCUGGUUUGUGGUAGGGAAGAAAGCAAUUUUCUGGGUCAUUUAAAAAUCCAAGGUGCGUAAAGAUUCCCAAGGGAAUCAUGAUUUGAAUGAAGAAGGAUGUCUGGGUGAUCUAAGGAAUUGCCACUGGAACAGCAGUAGGUGAUGGAUGCAGGCUGUUGUGCAGCCAAGUGCUGGAUGAGCAGUGCCCCUCACCUUGGCUGGACUAGGUGUGUAUGGGGGGUUUUUUUUGCACAUCUCUGCUUGCCAGGGUCACAUCUGGAUUAAGGACAACAAACCUCUGUGAGCCAGUGUAUUCACACCCAGCAGAUUUUCAGCAUUCCUUAGAUGACUGCUAAUUGAAUCAUUGUGAAUGAAAUAAAAUCUGUGUGCUCAUCCUGAAGCAACUGUUGGUUAAACUCUUAGUGUUUGGAUAGCAUAUUGUCAGAUUAACAAAUCCCUCUCUCUUGGGAGAUGAGAUUUAAGCUCACAUUUCCUCUGAUCAGGAAAACAGAAGUGAGAAAUUGAUUUUUUUUUUUUUCCUAAGAAAACAAAGGCAGUAUCGUUAUAAAAAGGAUCGGAAGACAGGAUCUCUUAGUUCCCGGUCCUGUGGCUUGCUUGAGCAAUGUCAGGAAUUCGGGGCAGCACAAAUCAAACAGUCAGCAAGUUCUGGGUGCCCUGGGGUACUGAAAAAUGCUUCUGGGGAAGGCUGCUAAUUGCAUUACGGGUCAGUGCUUCACCAUGUGUCGUUUCUAGUUGCUCUGCAUCAAACUGCUGUGCCCCAGCGGCCUGCAGCGAAACCCUGCGACGGAGACUGAUGCCAAAUCUCCUCUGCUCUGUGAAGAGGCCAACAAAAAGCUCAAAACCCCCUUCCCUUUUGUCCUAAAAGCCCUGAAACAAAAGAAGAACCUACUGGGGUCAGUGACCCCGAAUCAACUGUGGAAGCAGCAGCCUGGAAACAGGAAAACACCGACUGGGAACGGUGGGGGUGGUGAGGUGCUGGGAGAGGUCUAUUCUCUUACCCUCCAGUGCAAUUUGGAAGGGGCUGUAGGAAAGUCAGAGGAUCAGUGCUGCACCUCUGAGGGCACAAAGAGGCUGAUGGCCUCUCUGCUCACAUAUUUCAAACAGAUGUCUUGGCUUUGUGUGAGCCUGCAAGUGGAGCGCUCGACAUCUGGCAGCUGCUCCUGGUUAAAUGGCUUCUCCUUCCCCAGCUCCCAGUCUACUGAAAAAAGCAAAAUGAGGAGGCAAUUGAUGAAGCCUUGGAAUGCGUGAAGCAAGAAGGAAGCGCAAAAUACAGGGAAAAAAACUCGGCCAUGAGUAUUUAAGGUGGAAAAUGCAGCUUGUAAUGGUUUCAAACUAUGAAUUUAACGUUGUCCUUUCAUAGGCAUGUUUAAGUGAGCCGUUCAGUGGCUCUUCCUCCUCUUUCACAUUAAGGCCAGUGUGGACAGAAAUACCUGCUGGGAUGCUAGGCUUUGCUCCAGUGCACCCUGCAGGCCAAGAAUAAUCAAGUUUAAUUGCUUUUCGUGAGAAAAGCUGCAACAGAAAGUACCUAAUUUGUACCUUUAUACUAAAUGCUAAAAUUCUGAUCCAUAAAACACUGUUCAUCUUGGGCAUACUGAGAAAGCAUAAUUUAAAAUAGGUUCUAGCCAUGCAGUUAGGGGAAAAACACGAUGUUUGGGGUUUUAUUUAAAGGAGGGACCUUUAUUUGCUCUAUGUCUGUGUGGGAUGACUGUAACUUCGUCAAAGCAGUGAAAGGACAGUUUUGUCAAGGGUGUCCUGGGAUAAAGCUAGUGGUUUUGUGUUUCGUUUUUUGGGGUUUUUUUAACAGGGUGUUUAAAAUAAGAGUCUCACUGCAGAUGUCAAAAGAAUCUUCAUGCAGUUUAAUCAACGUAUGUGGCAAGGGAAGUCCUGAUUAAAGGGACUCUGGAUUAACGAUGUGUGCUGGUGAUAGGGAACCGAGACAUCACUGAUUGUUUCUUUUCCUG